CUGACCGCACGCGGUUACACGAUCCUGGAUCUGAUCCUCCGAUACCGCUGGCGCAAGGUAGAAGCUUCAGUCCAGGUUUUGAACCUCACCGACACCGACUGGCGGGAGACGCAAUACGCGACCGACUCCUGCGUGCGCCGAGAAGUCGGCGUGGACCCGCGCUGUCCGGCCGGUGGUGGCGGCGAAGGCAUCCCCGAUAUCAAUUUCGUACCGGGCUACCCGAUCAACUUGCGUGGCGGGCUGACGGUGUUUUUCUGAUGCCGCCCUCCUCACGGGCCGGGGGAGAGAAUUGACGGGAACUGCCAAACAGAGUACGAGUAUUUAUAUAGUAUGAUGAAGCGGCACAAGAGACAGGGCCUCCGGAGCACGUCUAUAGCCGUCCUGGCCCUUCUCUCAUUUCUGGCAGGGACGAGUUUCGCCUGCUUGCAGAUGGGAGCCGGGA
This 442-nucleotide unclassified non-coding RNA is filed under the name plant metagenome. RNAcentral's name for it is "partial contains 5.8S ribosomal RNA, internal transcribed spacer 2, and large subunit ribosomal RNA". The record is from RNAcentral.